AAUAUGAUAUGUUUUUGGAUAAUAUCAUUUUGGUUAAAUUUUUUAAUUGGCCAUAUAUUUAGGGGGAGCAUAUAAUAUGUUUUUGGAUAAUAUGCAUUUUGGCAUUCUUUUGAUGGCAUGAUGGUUCAUGAUCAUUUAAUGGUUAAUUGGAUGUUUGGUAAUUAUAUGUUUCUUGAUUAACCAUUGACAUAUUAUCGGUCUCAGCAUGAAUUUCUAGUAAUUUUGAUGAUGAAGGAGGAGAAGUCAUGUAUUUUGAAUAUGAAGACAUGUAAUACAUAUUUUGUAUUUCAAGUAUUUAUGCAUGGUUUUGAAAUAUUAAGGGGGAGCUUACAAAUUAUCAUAAAUCAAAUAUUCAGGGGGAGUUUUUGUUUUGAAUUUGAUUUAUAUGUUUAAUUAUAUAUGCCAUGUAUUAAGGGGGAGUACAAAUGUCAAAAUACAUGAGAUGUUUGUCAUCAUCAAAAAGGGGGAGAUUGUUAGCCUAAAAGGCUAUACAUAA
This 496-nucleotide long non-coding RNA is filed under the name Citrus sinensis (sweet orange). RNAcentral's name for it is "long non-coding RNA (CSIN_LNC004632)". Lineage: Eukaryota; Viridiplantae; Streptophyta; Magnoliopsida; Sapindales; Rutaceae. The record is from RNAcentral.